UAACUAAAUAGGUGACACGACAUUCAGUACAACCAAGAAAAUACCUCAUCCCCUUAAAUGUGUAGACCAAGGUUGGAUAAGACAUCAUCUCUCAAAACACGCACACGCUGCACGCACACACAGUGUGGUUAUAAGUCGUAACAAAUCCAAAAUUGUUCUCCACGAAAAAGUAAGUCCAAUAUUCUCAUCCAAAGGGAAUUUUGAGACUUCAUGUCAUCUUCAUGGCCAAAAUAAGACCCUUCUUUCAUGGAUAGCACUGAAAACUGCAAUGGCUAUUUGAGAACACAAAGAUAGAGUGAAGAUACGCUACUCACUGAAACUUGAAACAAUUUGUAGAAUGCCAUAUUCUCUGAUCUCACACUCUUAGUUCCAAUAUGUGUGUCAAAAUGACACGAGAAUGGACAAGAUAGCAGUGUGAUGCUCUUCUCUACUGAAUGAUGCAAUGAACAUACAAAGACUCGCAAAUCGAAUUAUCGGUUUGAUCCUGGAUUAGGAUAUCUAACAGACAUACUAUAGAAGACAGGCAUCACUCAGUUAGGCCAGGAUCACCGUCUCGGAAUUAAUAACAGCCUAACACGCAGAGUGAUUGCCAUACCAAGUUUCAUACUUUGUUGUUCAUGCAAAUCUGAAUCUAGCGGGCACUUCCCCUCUGCAAGCAUCGGCGUAGUCUUCAGCCAGGUGGGGUGCAGCUUCCUUAUGAGGACAUAUGAACUUGUCCAUGAAUACCUUCUCGCUGAUACAGAGUGUACAAUAGUAGUCCCGNNNNN
Molecule: long non-coding RNA, 767 nt
Filed under: Hordeum vulgare
Lineage: Eukaryota; Viridiplantae; Streptophyta; Magnoliopsida; Poales; Poaceae
Description: long non-coding RNA (HVUL_LNC014561)
Source: RNAcentral